Molecule: long non-coding RNA, 244 nt
Filed under: Elaeis guineensis (African oil palm)
Lineage: Eukaryota; Viridiplantae; Streptophyta; Magnoliopsida; Arecales; Arecaceae
Description: long non-coding RNA (EGUI_LNC066019)
Source: RNAcentral
GUGUCAGAAAUAUAGCUCUUUGUUUACUGUUUGAGCCAGCUCUCUCAGAACUCGAGCCGACUUGACUGCUGGCUAAUGCUUCUGAUGCUUUCUUCACAUCUCGUCAUUUCUUCAUCAGUUUUUAAGACUUGGAAGCACCACACUUGAGCUCACAAUCUCCAUCUUGGUGCUCCUAAGUCCUUGUGAACUCAGUCCUAUCCACCAGUCCCAUUAGUGUCAUACAAUAGUGAAAGCUAUCUCAUGG